CACACUACUGUCUCUAGAGGAGGGGAGUGGGGUAUCUGUGGGGACCCCGGGCUUCUGUUGGAUGGGGGGUGACCCCACAGCCCCACAUGUCACUCAGGCGCUGCCCGGGAUUGGCAUCUCUUUGUGACAGCCUGGCAUCUCUGGGUGGCCUGGAAAUGGGAGUGCAGCACAGGGCAGGGGAGCAGAGCCCGGGAUGGGCAUCCUCCUGCAGCCACAGGCAGUGGGGUCCCUGCAGGAGACCCCCUGAGCAUCCUCCUGGAGCCACAGGCAGUGGGGUCCCUGCAGGAGACCCUCUGAGCAUCCUCCUGGAGCCACAGAAGGGUCAUCCCAAAUGAUCUUCUGGACAUCCUCCUGAGGCCACAGAGGGGUCCCUUUGGACUGACUCUCUGAGCAUCCUCCUGGAGCUGCAGAAUCCCCCCAGGUUGCCCCCGUGGGGGCACGUGGAGGGGCAGUGCCCGGGUGUGGGGCAGAGCC
Non-coding RNA from Taeniopygia guttata (zebra finch), 474 nucleotides. The record is from RefSeq and is a predicted model, not a curated record. NCBI's taxonomy places the organism in Eukaryota, Metazoa, Chordata, Aves, Passeriformes, Estrildidae.